UUUGCUGAUUCUUCAAUUGCACUUCAGAAACUAAGGUCAACCAACUAACCACAAGGUGCAUUUAAUGAAACAAAGAAGAAAUCCUAAAGAAAGAAGGAAGCGCGCAAAAACUAGAAAGAAGACACUGACAAUUUGGAAAGUAACACAUGAACUAGGUUUUGUGCUACUUGAAAAAUAUCACCUACAGUAUAGACACAAGCAAACAAUACUCCAGCAAUGUAAAGGAAGCAAAAGCAAGCUUAAACCAAAAAAGAAACUUAGAAAUCAAAUAAAAACGAACCUGGACAAAAAAUAUUGCAUUUAAUUCACUUCAACGCAAAUUAAAUAUGGAUCUACUUAAAUCUAUCCAAAAAGGAAAGUAUCAAAACCCCACAAAUAGAAUCAGAAAAGAAAAAUGUAAAUUUCUCUCAGAUCAGAAACAUGGACGAAAAUUCUAGUGUUAAAAGAAGGAUUUGACAUCAAAUCAAUUUAGAUGCAAUUGCCCUAAAUGUGCACUUUAGGAAAUAGGAAGAAUUUCUUUUAUCUCCUAAUCUGGAUUCAACCAAAUUCAAAAUUCAAAUUGAUUCCCAUAAAUUACUGCAAUUAAUUGAGAUAGGUAAGGCAAUAUAGAUGAAAAAGGAAGCAUAUCACAAUUUCGGCCAGAUCA
This 646-nucleotide long non-coding RNA is filed under the name Manihot esculenta (cassava). Its description in RNAcentral is "long non-coding RNA (MESC_LNC010241)". The record is from RNAcentral. Lineage: Eukaryota; Viridiplantae; Streptophyta; Magnoliopsida; Malpighiales; Euphorbiaceae.